Molecule: ribosomal RNA, 497 nt
Filed under: uncultured bacterium
Lineage: Bacteria
Description: partial 16S ribosomal RNA
Rfam family: Bacterial small subunit ribosomal RNA
Source: RNAcentral
GAUGAACGCUGGCGGCGUGCCUAAUACAUGCAAGUCGAGCGAACAGACGAGGAGCUUGCUCCUCUGACGUUAGCGGCGGACGGGUGAGUAACACGUGGAUAACCUACCUAUAAGACUGGGAUAACUUCGGGAAACCGGAGCUAAUACCGGAUAAUAUAUUGAACCGCAUGGUUCAAUAGUGAAAGACGGUUUUGCUGUCACUUAUAGAUGGAUCCGCGCCGCAUUAGCUAGUUGGUAAGGUAACGGCUUACCAAGGCAACGAUGCGUAGCCGACCUGAGAGGGUGAUCGGCCACACUGGAACUGAGACACGGUCCAGACUCCUACGGGAGGCAGCAGUAGGGGAUCUUCCGCAAUGGGCGAAAGCUUGACGGAGCAACGCCGCGUGAGUGAUGAAGGUCUUCGGAUCGUAAAACUCUGUUAUUAGGGAAGAACAAAUGAGUAAGUAACUAUGCACGUCUUGACGGUACCUAAUCAGAAAGCCACGGCUAACUACGUG